RNAcentral lists this ribosomal RNA (1177 nucleotides) under Salmonella enterica. RNAcentral describes it as "partial 23S ribosomal RNA". It matches the Rfam family "Bacterial large subunit ribosomal RNA", at positions 1 to 1070 of the family's 2925-position model. Lineage: Bacteria; Pseudomonadati; Pseudomonadota; Gammaproteobacteria; Enterobacterales; Enterobacteriaceae. The record is from RNAcentral.
GGGUUGUGAGGUUAAGCGACUAAGCGUACACGGUGGAUGCCCUGGCAGUCAGAGGCGAUGAAGGGCGUGCUAAUCUGCGAUAAGCGCCGGUAAGGUGAUAUGAACCGUUAUAACCGGCGAUACCCGAAUGGGGAAACCCAGUGUGACUCGUCACACUAUCAUUAACUGAAUCCAUAGGUUAAUGAGGCGAACCGGGGGAACUGAAACAUCUAAGUACCCCGAGGAAAAGAAAUCAACCGAGAUUCCCCCAGUAGCGGCGAGCGAACGGGGAGGAGCCCAGAGCCUGAAUCAGCAUGUGUGUUAGUGGAAGCGUCUGGAAAGGCGCGCGAUACAGGGUGACAGCCCCGUACACAAAAGCGCAUGUGCUGUGAGCUCGAUGAGUAGGGCGGGACACGUGGUAUCCUGUCUGAAUAUGGGGGGACCAUCCUCCAAGGCUAAAUACUCCUGACUGACCGAUAGUGAACCAGUACCGUGAGGGAAAGGCGAAAAGAACCCCGGCGAGGGGAGUGAAAAAGAACCUGAAACCGUGUACGUACAAGCAGUGGGAGCCCCACCACCAAAGCAUUUGCUGUACCGCGUUGACGGAGCGAAGCGACGUCAAACCGAUAAAACAGCAGUGUAAAGUGAGCCGCAGGGCGCUUUGCGCGACAGCGCAAAGGCAGGCGGUUUCGCGUAGCGAAAGCGAAUGCUUUGGGGUGGGGUGACUGCGUACCUUUUGUAUAAUGGGUCAGCGACUUAUAUUCUGUAGCAAGGUUAACCGAAUAGGGGAGCCGGAGGGAAACCGAGUCUUAAUUGGGCGUUAAGUUGCAGGGUAUAGACCCGAAACCCGGUGAUCUAGCCAUGGGCAGGUUGAAGGUUGGGUAACACUAACUGGAGGACCGAACCGACUAAUGUUGAAAAAUUAGCGGAUGACCUGUGGCUGGGGGUGAAAGGCCAAUCAAACCGGGAGAUAGCUGGUUCUCCCCGAAAGCUAUUUAGGUAGCGCCUCGUGAAUUCAUCUCCGGGGGUAGAGCACUGUUUCGGCUAGGGGGCCAUCCCGGCUUACCAACCCGAUGCAAACUGCGAAUACCGGAGAAUGUUAUCACGGGAGACACACGGCGGGUGCUAACGUCCGUCGUGAAGAGGGAAACAACCCAGACCGCCAGCUAAGGUCCCAAAGUCAUGGUUAAGUGGGAAA